UGGGGAAUAUUGGACAAUGGGGGAAACCCUGAUCCAGCAAUGCCGCGUGAGUGAAGAAGGCCUUAGGGUUGUAAAGCUCUUUCGCCCGCGAAGAUAAUGACGGUAGCGGGAGAAGAAGCCCCGGCUAACUCCGUGCCAGCAGCCGCGGUAAUACGGAGGGGGCUAGCGUUGUUCGGAAUUACUGGGCGUAAAGCGUACGUAGGCGGAUGCGCAAGUUGGGAGUGAAAUCCCGGGGCUUAACCUCGGAAUUGCCCUCAAAACUGCACGUCUUGAGACCGAGAGAGGUAAGGGGAAUUCCUAGUGUAGAGGUGAAAUUCGUAGAUAUUAGGAAGAACACCAGUGGCGAAGGCGCCUUACUGGCUCGGUACUGACGCUGAGGUACGAAAGCGUGGGGAGCAAACA
RNAcentral lists this ribosomal RNA (402 nucleotides) under uncultured bacterium. Its description in RNAcentral is "bacterial SSU rRNA". It matches the Rfam family "Bacterial small subunit ribosomal RNA", at positions 355 to 774 of the family's 1533-position model. The record is from RNAcentral.